GUGUUGAGAGUGAAGCUUUCAAGGAUCCAGGAGGCUGACAUUUUGGUCACGAGAAGUCUCACGCUCUCAUUAACAGAGGAGUGUGGCCUUAUGCUACUUGAACAAUGUCAAAUCCCCGAAGCCUGAGGAUUUUAAGAUGGUGAUGGACAGGAAUUCAACAACAUGCAAGGCAUGGUUCCCUAAGAGUUUGAUUAGAAAACUACAUAUAAGAAGACAACGCCAAAGAGCAGAAUACAAGCUCAGAGGUUCCUUUCAUAUCUUCCUGGUUAUUUCUUCCCCUGCCAUGCUAAUUUUCAAUUAUUCACAUCACAAUUUGAGUCAGGUGCCAAUGAAUUUAUAUGUAGGUAUAUAUUUUAUUUUAUAUGCAUUACAUAUUGGUUGCUCUGAAAGUAAUGCUUCCUGUUUAUUUCCAUGGAAGCUACACCAGCUACAAAGAGCACAAGAACUGUUUGGCAGGGCAAAUUCUCAAUAA
This 472-nucleotide long non-coding RNA is filed under the name Phasianus colchicus (ring-necked pheasant). Its description in RNAcentral is "lncRNA (ENSPCLG00000000142.1)". Lineage: Eukaryota; Metazoa; Chordata; Aves; Galliformes; Phasianidae. The record is from RNAcentral.